AAACAAGCCAAUUAAGCCAACCGGGUUCCUUUCCUCAUGGUGGCCCAGUGUGCUGUGGCUGCAAACAGCAGCCUCCUUGGGAGUGUAGUAACCUAUUGCUUGUACACACUACCCUAAGGGACCUUGGAGACAGUU
This is a small nucleolar RNA of Jaculus jaculus (lesser Egyptian jerboa), 135 nucleotides long. Its record names the gene SNORA70. It matches the Rfam family "Small nucleolar RNA SNORA70". Rfam says of the family: snoRNA U70 seems to be exclusive to mammals and is a member of the H/ACA class of snoRNA which contain H (ANANNA) and ACA box motifs. H/ACA box snoRNAs are involved in the conversion of uridines to pseudouridines (5-ribosyluracil) a constituent of structural RNAs (transfer, ribosomal, small nuclear, and small nucleolar). NCBI's taxonomy places the organism in Eukaryota, Metazoa, Chordata, Mammalia, Rodentia, Dipodidae. The record is from Ensembl.